This is a non-coding RNA of Phrynosoma platyrhinos (Desert horned lizard), 72 nucleotides long. NCBI's taxonomy places the organism in Eukaryota, Metazoa, Chordata, Lepidosauria, Squamata, Phrynosomatidae. The record is from the annotation of a GenBank genome assembly.
ACCAGUGUGGCGCAGUAGUUUGAGUGCUGGUCUAUGACUCUAGGGACCGGGGUUCGAAUCCCAACAUGGCCA